UACGGGGGGGGCAAGCGUUGUUCGGAAUUACUGGGCGGAAAGGGCUCGUAGGUGGCCAACUAAGUCAGACGUGAAAUCCCUCGGCUUAACCGGGGAACUGCGUCUGAUACUGGAUGGCUUGAGUUUGGGAGAGGGACGCGGAAUUCCAGGUGUAGCGGUGAAAUGCGUAGAUAUCGUAAGGAAGACCAGUGGCGAAGGCGGGUCUCUGGACAGUUCCUGACGCUGAGGCACGAAGGCCAGGGGAGCAAACGGG
This 253-nucleotide ribosomal RNA is filed under the name uncultured bacterium. RNAcentral's name for it is "partial 16S ribosomal RNA". It matches the Rfam family "Bacterial small subunit ribosomal RNA", at positions 524 to 776 of the family's 1533-position model. The record is from RNAcentral.